GAUGAACGCUAGCGAUAGGCCUAACACAUGCAAGUCGAGGGGCAUCACAUGAAGUAGCAAUACGGAUGGUGGCGACCGGCGCACGGGUGAGUAACACGUAUGCAACCUGCCUUCAACAAGGGGAUAACCCGUUGAAAGACGGACUAAUACCCUAUAACACAGGGGUCCCGCAUGGGAAUAUUUGUUAAAGGACAACCGGUUGAAGAUGGGCAUGCGUUCCAUUAGCUAGUUGGCGGGGUAACGGCCCACCAAGGCAACGAUGGAUAGGGGAACUGAGAGGUUUAUCCCCCACACUGGUACUGAGACACGGACCAGACUCCUACGGGAGGCAGCAGUGAGGAAUAUUGGUCAAUGGACGCAAGUCUGAACCAGCCACGUCGCGUGAAGGAAGACGGCCCUACGGGUUGUAAACCUCUUUCGGACGGAAAGAAAUCGCCGCCUCUAACAUAGGCGGUGGAUGACGGUACCGUAAGAAGAAGCACCGGCUAACUACGUGCCAGCAGCCGCGGUAAGUACGC
This 518-nucleotide ribosomal RNA is filed under the name uncultured bacterium. RNAcentral's name for it is "bacterial SSU rRNA". It matches the Rfam family "Bacterial small subunit ribosomal RNA", at positions 28 to 528 of the family's 1533-position model. The record is from RNAcentral.